CGGGGCUGGGCGAGCCGGUGGCGCCACCGGGGGUCAGCGGCCCCUGCUCGGCCUCGAUGACGGCGAGGAUCUGCUGCUCGAAGUCGGUGAGCCGGGCC
RNAcentral lists this transfer RNA (98 nucleotides) under Nocardioides sp. OK12. Its description in RNAcentral is "tRNA-Ala". The record is from RNAcentral. Lineage: Bacteria; Bacillati; Actinomycetota; Actinomycetes; Propionibacteriales; Nocardioidaceae.